CAGAUAUUGGAAUAUUCUUCAUGUAAUGCAGUAUCACUUCUGUAUGAAGCCACGUGUAACUUGUCCCCCUCCUUUCCAUCAUGAGAACUACUGAAGAUGUAAACCAAAUCCAGCAGGGAAACCAGUGACAUUUGUGAAUAGUAGACGGGAUAAAAGGAGCUGGACACACUCUUUCUUCAACAUCUGCCAUGAUAUGAUUUCACAAGCAAGAAAUGUGCCAAGGCUUCUACCCAAGAAUAUAACGUACAUGGACACGUCAUGGGGGCUCCCCUGCCCUCAAGCUCCCAUGGGGGUUCAGCCAAUGAAGACAAGAAGAAAGAGAGAUUGAGGAACUCCGGGAAGAUUGUCCAGACACCAACACUGCCCUAAGACUGUACUCGAGUCUGCAAAGAGAUGAAAAGAAAAAAGGUUGUGCUUACUGCCUUCACCAAGCUCUCAAGGUCAUCCAGUGAUACUGAUGAAAUAUUCCACCGGAGGGAGAAUCAUGAAAUAUUCCACCGGAGGGAGAAUCAAAUCCCUGUCUAGCCUCCUUGCCCGCAGGAAGUUGACAGAAGAGGGAUUGACCUGAAGGAUCAAGGGGUAUGCAGUCCAAGUGGGAAUGUAACAUGCAUGAGGUGGAGGGACUGAACCUCAAUCAGAUGGAGUGAAUGCUUCAGGUCACACAGCGAAAGAGUCCUGGAUGAAAACCCAGUGCUACCAGAAGGCAGUCUCUUCUCUCCACCACACUGUACCUCCCACAGCCCUCUUUUAGAGCAAGGCCAUUUCAGGGAAGCCUUGCCAUACCCGAUCUCCACAGGCAGCUCUCACCAACUGUGCUUCAAGUGCAUGGUCAUUCCAGAGCCUGGACGGAACGGGCACUCCUGGUGCUAUGGCCUCACUGCCUACAAAGCUAAGUGCACAGGUAGGGGGACAGGGUGCUUCCUUUGCUCCUGUGGUGAUCUGGAGACACAGAUCAACCCAGUGUGAAUGGAACCAGGCAGAGCUGCCCACCAAAAUAAAAGUGUGGCCAAAACCCAGCCCUGCUUGUGGGUGAACAAAAAACAUGCCCUCCAGCCACAACUGCAUUCACAGAGCUUCCGGGGAUGGCUCUUACCUGGGGCUGCUCCGUAUGGAAACAUAAUCCAUAGCUUGGCUCCCACAAAUAUGCUUAUCCCACGUGCUACAUAUGGAAGGAGAAAUCAGCUUGUAUUUCAUUAAACAGUUUGGCUCAGGUCUUGUGAGCAAAUAUUAGAAUCUGCACUUGGUACAGAGUCGUAAAUGCAUUGUUAGCAAAUCAGAUGGCCGAUAAAAAAUACAUAAAUCAAUCAAGCAUUCCUACUGCUAAAUGUUUACAAAUAAGCAAAACAACGAUCCCCUUGUUAAAAGUCUCUUCUGCUCUAUGAUUUAUUAAAGUUCUGAAUUCCAUGUUGGGGGCCCAGGGAGUUGAAGGGUGUGGAAGUGGGCUGGCCGGUCUAAGCCGUCCGUGAUCCAUUCCAGGGCAUUUGCCAGGGCACAGCUGGGCUUCCCCCACCCAGGGACAGUGAGAG
RNAcentral lists this long non-coding RNA (1526 nucleotides) under Homo sapiens (human). Its description in RNAcentral is "HSALNT0223293". The record is from RNAcentral. Lineage: Eukaryota; Metazoa; Chordata; Mammalia; Primates; Hominidae.